Molecule: non-coding RNA, 109 nt
Organism: Archangium gephyra
Lineage: Bacteria; Pseudomonadati; Myxococcota; Myxococcia; Myxococcales; Archangiaceae
Source: Rfam
AAGCGAGGCUGAAGUGGUUCCCCCCCACCCCUUCAGCACCUUCCGGUGAGCUUCUUGAGAAGACCUGCGGCCCGGUUCCCUUCCUGAGGGUGCCGGGCCGCCUUCUUUU